UUGUAAACCUUUUUUGCCAGGGACGAAGAGAGAUUGACGGUACCUGGUAGAAGAAGGACCGGCCAACUACGUGCCAGCAGCCGCGGUAAUACGUAGGGUCCGAGCGUUGUCCGGAAUUACUGGGCGUAAAUAGCUCGUAGGUGGUUUGUCGCGUUGUUCGUGAAAACUCACAACUCAAUUGUGGGCGUGCGGGCGAUACGGGCAGACUGGAGUACUGCAGGGGAGACUGGAAUUCCUGGUGUAGCGGUGGAAUGCGCUGAUAUCAGGAGGAACACCGGUGGCGAAGGCGGGUCUCUGGGCUGUAACUGACGCUGAGGAGCGUAAGCGUGGGGAGCGAACAGGAUUAGAUACCCUGGUAGUCCACGCCGUAAACGGUGGGUACUAGGUGUGGGUUUCCUUCCUUGGGAUCCGUGCCGUAGCUAACGCAUUAAGUACCCCGCCUGGGGAGUACGGCCGCAAGGCUAAAACUCAAAGGAAUUGACGGGGGCCCGCACAAAGCGGCGGAGCAUGUGGAUUAAUUCGAUGCAACGCUUAGAACUCUUACCUGGGUUUGACAUGCACAGGACGCUGGUAGAGAU
This 578-nucleotide ribosomal RNA is filed under the name Mycobacterium sp. Ri3Pw_6267. RNAcentral's name for it is "bacterial SSU rRNA". It matches the Rfam family "Bacterial small subunit ribosomal RNA", at positions 423 to 1007 of the family's 1533-position model. The record is from RNAcentral. Lineage: Bacteria; Bacillati; Actinomycetota; Actinomycetes; Mycobacteriales; Mycobacteriaceae.